RNAcentral lists this ribosomal RNA (216 nucleotides) under uncultured bacterium. Its description in RNAcentral is "partial 16S ribosomal RNA". It matches the Rfam family "Bacterial small subunit ribosomal RNA", at positions 118 to 334 of the family's 1533-position model. The record is from RNAcentral.
UACGCAACCUUCCUUUAACUGGAGAAUAGCCCCUCGAAAGAGGGAUUAAUACUCCGUAACAUAUACAUGUGGCAUCACAAGUAUAUUAUAGCUCAGGCGGUUAAAGAUGGGCGUGCGCCUGAUUAGAUAGUUGGCGGGGUAACGGCCCACCAAGUCUGCGAUCAGUAACUGGUGUGAGAGCACGACCAGUCACACGGGCACUGAGACACGGGCCCG